RNAcentral lists this ribosomal RNA (704 nucleotides) under Nocardioides sp. RNAcentral describes it as "bacterial SSU rRNA". It matches the Rfam family "Bacterial small subunit ribosomal RNA", at positions 106 to 824 of the family's 1533-position model. Lineage: Bacteria; Bacillati; Actinomycetota; Actinomycetes; Propionibacteriales; Nocardioidaceae. The record is from RNAcentral.
GUGAGUAACACGUGAGUAAUCUGCCCCAGGCUCUGGGAUAGCCACCGGAAACGGUGAUUAAUACCGGAUACGACAACCGAUUGCAUGAUCUGGUUGUGGAAAGUUUUUCGGCCUGGGAUGUGCUCGCGGCCUAUCAGCUUGUUGGUGAGGUAAUGGCUCACCAAGGCUUCGACGGGUAGCCGGCCUGAGAGGGUGACCGGCCACACUGGGACUGAGACACGGCCCAGACUCCUACGGGAGGCAGCAGUGGGGAAUAUUGGACAAUGGGCGGAAGCCUGAUCCAGCAACGCCGCGUGAGGGAUGACGGCCUUCGGGUUGUAAACCUCUUUCAGCACAGACGAAGCGCAAGUGACGGUAUGUGCAGAAGAAGGACCGGCCAACUACGUGCCAGCAGCCGCGGUAAUACGUAGGGUCCGAGCGUUGUCCGGAAUUAUUGGGCGUAAAGGGCUCGUAGGCGGUCUGUCGCGUCGGGAGUGAAAACCAGGUGCUUAACACCUGGCCUGCUUUCGAUACGGGCAGACUAGAGGUACUCAGGGGAGAAUGGAAUUCCUGGUGUAGCGGUGAAAUGCGCAGAUAUCAGGAGGAACACCGGUGGCGAAGGCGGUUCUCUGGGAGUAUCCUGACGCUGAGGAGCGAAAGUGUGGGGAGCGAACAGGAUUAGAUACCCUGGUAGUCCACACCGUAAACGUUGGGCGCUAGGUGUG